RNAcentral lists this long non-coding RNA (191 nucleotides) under Fukomys damarensis (Damara mole-rat). Its description in RNAcentral is "lncRNA (ENSFDAG00000031059.1)". The record is from RNAcentral. Lineage: Eukaryota; Metazoa; Chordata; Mammalia; Rodentia; Bathyergidae.
AGAAGCCACCAGAGUACAGUACCAAACGUCAUGACAACUGCAACAAUUCAGUGUGGUUACAAAAACGGAGAAGCAAUGCUGUUUCUGUGAGUAAGAACCUUUCACCACUGCCAGACCUGAGCAGGAAUUCAAGGAGGGCAAGGACACUGCUACUGAAGAAUCAACUCAUACCAAUUUAUACUAGAGAGGAC